RNAcentral lists this ribosomal RNA (562 nucleotides) under uncultured bacterium. RNAcentral's name for it is "bacterial SSU rRNA". It matches the Rfam family "Bacterial small subunit ribosomal RNA", at positions 338 to 916 of the family's 1533-position model. The record is from RNAcentral.
CCUACGGGAGGCAGCAGUGGGGAAUAUUGGACAAUGGGCGCAAGCCUGAUCCAGCAAUGCCGCGUGAGUGAUGAAGGCCUUAGGGUCGUAAAGCUCUUUUACCAGGGAUGAUAAUGACAGUACCUGGAGAAUAGGCUCCGGCUAACUCCGUGCCAGCAGCCGCGGUAAUACGGAGGGAGCUAGCGUUGUUCGGAAUUACUGGGCGUAAAGCGUACGUAGGCGGUUAUUCAAGUCAGAGGUGAAAGCCCGGGGCUCAACCCCGGAACGGCCUUUGAAACUAGGUAGCUAGAAUCUUGGAGAGGUCAGUGGAAUUCCGAGUGUAGAGGUGAAAUUCGUAGAUAUUCGGAAGAACACCAGUGGCGAAGGCGACUGACUGGACAAGUAUUGACGCUGAGGUACGAAAGCGUGGGGAGCAAACAGGAUUAGAUACCCUGGUAGUCCACGCCGUAAACGAUGAUAACUAGCUGUCCGGGCACUUGGUGCCUGGGUGGCGCAGCUAACGCAUUAAGUUAUCCGCCUGGGGAGUACGGUCGCAAGAUUAAAACUUAAAUGAAAUUGACGG